Ribosomal RNA from Danio rerio (zebrafish), 117 nucleotides. NCBI's taxonomy places the organism in Eukaryota, Metazoa, Chordata, Actinopteri, Cypriniformes, Danionidae. The record is from Ensembl.
GGUCACAGCCAUAUCAACCUGCAGCCCAAGACUGGUUACUCACUGAAGCUAAGCAGGGCUGAGCAUGAUUAGUACCUGGAUGGAGGACCACAUGGGAAAACUAGGUCUGUGUAAGUC